UUUGUUUUCUCCGUCUUCUUUGAUUUUUGCUUGCUAUCGUUGCAUUUUACGUUUAAGACUAGACAAUGUACGAGAGGUUGGAUUGGUUUUACGCUUAAGUUGGUUUGAUUGUUUUAGUUAAUUAAGUUUUUUUUGGGCUUUUGAUUUUUGGAAUAAGUUUUUAGUUUUGGUUUUUUUUUUGGGGGGGGGCUUGGUUUUGAUUUUUGUUUUGGGCUUGGUUUUAUUUUUCAGUAUUUGAUAUUUUUAAUGUAAAACUAUAAAAUCAUAUGAGUUAACAAAAAUAGAUUUCUGUUUUCAAAACUAAAACUCUGAUAAUUUCUCCGCUAUAAGAUUAAGUAAUCACUUAAAUAUUUUCUGUAAAUAAAAUAUAUGGUUUUUAAUACAUG
RNAcentral lists this long non-coding RNA (386 nucleotides) under Gossypium raimondii (Peruvian cotton). RNAcentral's name for it is "long non-coding RNA (GRAI_LNC004391)". The record is from RNAcentral. Lineage: Eukaryota; Viridiplantae; Streptophyta; Magnoliopsida; Malvales; Malvaceae.